Molecule: long non-coding RNA, 372 nt
Organism: Phymastichus coffea
Lineage: Eukaryota; Metazoa; Arthropoda; Insecta; Hymenoptera; Eulophidae
Exons: 3
Source: RefSeq, a predicted model, not a curated record
UCAGACUGUGGAUAUAUAUUUCCCCGAUGGCUAAGAAACAUCAGAAGCUAAAUUUACUUGCAUCACUGUGGAAGUUGCAGCUACCUAACUAUUGUCUACAUCUCUCUCAGCAUGCAUAAGAAAAUCAUAGACACGAUAGAUGGAAUUUUGUUGUGUAAAGCGAAAACAAUUUGCAACGUUCUGCGUAAGGGGAAUAAAAGUAAACUGCUGGAAAUAAAAUAUCAGAAAAUAUCUUCAGUCGUCAUAGUUUUUUGCAAAGGGAUACAAAUUAAGAAUGUCGUUGGAUUCAUCAAAAUGCUGGCUGUCGAACAUUACUUAGAACAAUGGAUAUCCACAAAAUAACUUGCUGAUAUUUAGCACAGUGCAGUAAAU